GAAUAUUGGUCAAUGGACGAAAGUCUGAACCAGCCAUGCCGCGUGCAGGAAGACGGCCCUACGGGUUGUAAACUGCUUUUGUAUAGGAAUAAACCCCCCAACGUGCUGGGGGCUGAAGGUACUGUACGAAUAAGCACCGGCCAACCCCGUGCCCGCAGCCGCGGUAAUACGGAGGGUGCAAGCGUUAUCCGGAUUUAUUGGGUUUAAAGGGUGCGUAGGCGGAAUAUUAAGUCAGUGGUGAAAUCUUCCAGCUUAACUGGGAAACUGCCAUUGAUACUGAUAUUCUUGAGUUUGAUUGAAGUAGGCGGAAUGAGGCAUGUAGCGGUGAAAUGCAUAGAUAUGCCUCAGAACACCGAUCGCGAAGGCAGCUUACUAAGUCAAUACUGACGCUGAGGCACGAAAGCGUGGGGAGCAAACAGG
RNAcentral lists this ribosomal RNA (420 nucleotides) under uncultured bacterium. RNAcentral describes it as "bacterial SSU rRNA". It matches the Rfam family "Bacterial small subunit ribosomal RNA", at positions 359 to 776 of the family's 1533-position model. The record is from RNAcentral.